This is a non-coding RNA of Prunus mume (Japanese apricot), 683 nucleotides long. The record is from RefSeq and is a predicted model, not a curated record. Lineage: Eukaryota; Viridiplantae; Streptophyta; Magnoliopsida; Rosales; Rosaceae.
AACAGAUCCCUCCUUGACGAAGAACAUAGGUGGACAAGCUAUCCAGGCUGGAGAAGUGAUUGUCACUUCUGUCAUAGCUGGUGGAGACUUGGAGCUUUCCUUCGGAGAUGAGGAGGAUGAAAUUCUGGCAAAACAGCCAGCUGUUACGGCGACUCCUUCUGGCAGAAAGAAUAAGAGAAAAGAGACUGCUCCAACCCAUGAUAGUGUUGUCCAGCCUGAGACUUCAGCUGAAAGUCCUCUUCCCCCUUCUACUAAGUCAAAAAGGCUUAGGAAGAUAGCAGUGAAUACGUAGCCAUAGAAUCUGCAGCAGCUCCUACAACCUUUUCUGGGACAGAUAAAGAGCUGAGAAAGGCUUUCGAGGCUGUGGAGCAAGAAAACAAAGCAGAUGCCUCGACAGGGGAUAAAGAAAAAAGCAAAGAUGCUGAAGAAGAGGAGGAUAUCCCUACUGAGGUGAUAGCAGAGAGAAUUGCUUUGGAGAAGAAAUAGCAGGAAACUCAAAGGGCAGAACUGACAAGCUCAGGGUUGGCCCUUUUUGAAGAUGCAGAGGUAGAACACUCCACUGCAGUUCUAGUACCUGCGGAGCACUCAGAGCAAUCUACAUUAGAGCCUGUGGCAUAGGCAGAACUUCCUGUUGCAGCUCCAGAACCUAAAGUGGAGGUAGAAUACCCUGUUGCUAUUCCUGA